UGACUUUGAGUUUAGUGGGCCUGUACGUUUCCGGAAAAACCCCAUGAAUUUGACUAGGGAACCCGAAAAAGGCCAUAACAGAACUGCAACAGCCUGAAGAAUAAUAAACGCACCGAGUCUCACCGUAAUGUAAGCGAUGAAGCUCGACCAAGUACAUCAUAUGCUUCAACACUUCAACCCGGCAGACAAAAACUGGAACAGUUUUCGUAAAAAACAAAGUGAAUACUGGGCCGGAACUACAGCACCACUUCAACAACAGCAGCAGCAGUUCACAUUAUUCUGGCAGAAGAAAACAACCACUCGUCCAGUUCCUCGGCCAUUCGGUUGGAGUAGUUCAUUUUUCUUCUCUUACGGCCGAAGAGCACCCAGCAGCGGAAAUGGCUCAGACAGUGGCCAUAAUUGAUCAGAGUGGAUGUGAUAGUGGCACAAGUGUUUCGUUAUAGACCUAGCAGCAGCUGUCACUCUCCGGAAGGUACCAUGAACAAACUUCCUGGCUGCGAUUUCGUAUCGCAAAUCAAACGAAAACAAUAACUACCACAUGAAAAAUAAGUGCUGCAGUAAAAAUGGAUCCCAAUACUUCCGGAUGAAAACCAUGAAUGGUCAUAACAGGACUGAAAAUAAAGUACACCAAGGCUGACGAAAAUUCAAGCGAUAAACUCGCCAUGAUGCUGGGAAUCCAAGGACGAACUCCACUACCCGGCCACACAAACGCAAGAUGAGUUCCCCAAACAAGCCAAAUAAGAUUAACACUGGGUCGAGUAGAAGAGGCAGAAACUGUGGUUCGUGAAAUUUGUUUUGACCAAAUGGUUAUACUGGAGCUGGCUUCGGCAUCUUAUUGAUGAAUUUGCCGGUGUUUACGACGAAUGAAAACCUGCUCCUUCUAAACACUCAGUCCCCAGGAUUAAAGGGAAGGGUCCGGCUUCAAAGGCUCUUUUGGCUCACCCGAAGAUAUCAUCUGUUGGCGGUAAAAGUUAAAUCAAAAUCAAUGAUAUUUUAAGUUUUUUUUUUUUUUUGUUCUUCAAGGUUGCUCCUGGUGUCUCUGGAUCAGCAGAUUAUUCCCACGGCAUUGGCUUCGAUGAUACCGAAAAUUCUCUCGGAGUGCUCUUGGUGAUGAGAUUUGUAAGUUCAAGAUUCCCACCUUCGUUCUCCCAUGAAGCAUAUCUUGGUCCUUUGAGAUUUUUACUCAGAUCUGAAAACAGCAAUAAACAACGGUCACUGCAGUCCUUAUCGUAUACGCAACAGGCCUUCCGGAUUCACCGCACCUGAUGGUAAAACUGCGUAAUUUUUUCUUAUUUUGUUUGUAAUUUAGUUUUUCUUUUUCAGGUAAAACGAAAAAAUGGCUUCACCGGUAACGAUGUCCAAGAAUACUUCAUGCGCAUUGCGAAAAGACAAUCGAAACCCGGAUACGAAUCUAUAAGAGAGGUUGAUGCCAUAAGCGUCGACCUUCUAACAAAAGCGGAUUGCGUGUUAGUGUUGUAGGUACAUUAAAAUCUUCCUAAACUUGAAGAAAUUUAAAAAAAUAUACUCAGGAGCUUAGUGGAAUGAGUGCGAUUAUCAUUCCAACCGAUGUAAAGAUAUAGAUACAGUAUUUCAAUUCAGAAUUGAAAUAAAUAAGCACAAAUUAAGAUUAGGUAUGUUCCAAAAUUGAAAUUUGAAGCUGGUUUAAAGAAUUAGGUAAUAUUCAUUAUUAACAAUAUUUUUUAAAACUGCGAAUACAGAUGUAUUAGUAUACAAAAAGGCAUCCACGUCAAAAGUCGCAUUAA
Molecule: long non-coding RNA, 1763 nt
Organism: Uranotaenia lowii
Lineage: Eukaryota; Metazoa; Arthropoda; Insecta; Diptera; Culicidae
Exons: 4
Source: RefSeq, a predicted model, not a curated record